GAAGGGAGCAGGCAUCAUAGAUGGUAUUACAGGCGGCUGGUCUCUCCUCUCUCAGCCAACUAUGAGAACUAUUUGGGAUUGAAGGAGAUAAGCUACAGCAAGUCGUUACUUGUCCUGAAUGCACGACCUUCUUUCUUUGAGCAAGAGGACAAACCUGGGUAGGGAUCUCUAUGAUGUUUUCUGCGUUGCCCGUGGACGUUCAUCUUUCUGAUUUGUUAGCUGAAGAUGAGGAUCUGGAGCAGGAGCUCGGAGUGCCAUUGUUCCAUGGGCAGAUGUGCAGCAGAGAUUUCCUAGGCCGCUAAGACGUCAGGGGAGCUGAUACACACUUCCAAGAACACGGAGACAUCAAAGGGAGCUGAGAGUCCACAGCGGCAGCAAAACAGGUGCUGCUUCACAUGCCCUUUGCUAAGAGUCCUGGAGUUUGAAGUCUCCACGGCCGAUCUAAAAGCAAGUUCCUGAGGAAGGAGCCGGAAAGUUCUCUGAAACCAGUAGUGGAAGCUAGUCUCUAAUAAAACAAAAUGUUACCACGCUUCUGGAAAGAUUCCACACAUCAAACAUUGAAUAAAAAGGACAAUUCGAUUAACUGAGGCUGAUUUCUUUUGACAAAUUGACUUUGAAAAGGAAUUCAGAGCAAUAAAAAGGCCACGCCCUGACUUGAAAGCUUUAGCUGCUGGAGGGAGAAUUCACAACGCAUUUGCAAGGGGCUGCCGUAAUCAACAUGUUUGUAAAACAGGAUGAAGGACUGCCCAUAAAUUUCAAACCCAAAUGAGCAGAAAAGCACACAAAGGAGAAAAUGAUCAAUUCAAGGCCCAAAUGCCGGCGUCGUGUAAAACGUAACUCAUUGAACACACACGCGGUUG
This 860-nucleotide long non-coding RNA is filed under the name Homo sapiens (human). RNAcentral's name for it is "HSALNT0157858". Lineage: Eukaryota; Metazoa; Chordata; Mammalia; Primates; Hominidae. The record is from RNAcentral.